GCCCGGUUAGCUCAAUCGGUAGAGCGUGAGACUCUUAAUCUCAAGGUUGCGGGUAAGUUUCACUGAAAAAACUCAUCUUCCAUGGAAGAAUUCAAAAAAUGCUAACAAAUCCUCAAUAGGUUCGACCCCCGCAUCGGGCU
Molecule: non-coding RNA, 140 nt
Organism: Xylariaceae sp. FL0594
Lineage: Eukaryota; Fungi; Ascomycota; Sordariomycetes; Xylariales; Xylariaceae
Source: the annotation of a GenBank genome assembly